This 439-nucleotide long non-coding RNA is filed under the name Mus pahari (shrew mouse). RNAcentral's name for it is "lncRNA (MGP_PahariEiJ_G0012222.1)". The record is from RNAcentral. Lineage: Eukaryota; Metazoa; Chordata; Mammalia; Rodentia; Muridae.
UGAAUGGCCCUCCUGGGAGUCGCCACCGGCCGUGAGGAAGAGAAUUAAUUCUUCUUGCACCAGGCAGGAUUCCCUCCAGCAGUCUGUUACCCAAGAGUCCCGCAUGGAGACUAACUGGCAGACCCACAGGUUCACUUGUCCCGGCUUGCAGGACAUGUAGCUCCACAGGGCCAGUUUCGUCUCACUGAGUCCUGGGUCUGAGGAUGAAGCCCUGCUGUGGACCUUCUGAUGAACAUAAGUGCAUCCUAACCACAACCAGUCAAGAACCCUUCCUGGAUUCUGCCAGCUCUGUGGUCCCUGAUGAAGAUGUAGCUCUCAGCCCUGAUGAUGCAGCUCCCGUGCCCUGCCCGCCCGCCUGCCACUCUACUCCCUGCUAUAUUGUUCAUGGACUUACCCUCUGAAACUAUAGCCAAUCCUCCAAUUAAAUGUUUUCUUCUUU